This 720-nucleotide ribosomal RNA is filed under the name uncultured Bacteroidales bacterium. RNAcentral's name for it is "bacterial SSU rRNA". It matches the Rfam family "Bacterial small subunit ribosomal RNA", at positions 67 to 776 of the family's 1533-position model. Lineage: Bacteria; Pseudomonadati; Bacteroidota; Bacteroidia; Bacteroidales. The record is from RNAcentral.
GGGCAGCAUGGUCUUAGCUUGCUAAGGCCGAUGGCGACCGGCGCACGGGUGAGUAACACGUAUCCAACCUGCCGUCUACUCUUGGACAGCCUUCUGAAAGGAAGAUUAAUACAAGAUGGCAUCAUGAGUCCGCAUGUUCACAUGAUUAAAGGUAUUCCGGUAGACGAUGGGGAUGCGUUCCAUUAGAUAGUAGGCGGGGUAACGGCCCACCUAGUCUUCGAUGGAUAGGGGUUCUGAGAGGAAGGUCCCCCACAUUGGAACUGAGACACGGUCCAAACUCCUACGGGAGGCAGCAGUGAGGAAUAUUGGUCAAUGGGCGAGAGCCUGAACCAGCCAAGUAGCGUGAAGGAUGACUGCCCUAUGGGUUGUAAACUUCUUUUAUAAAGGAAUAAAGUCGGGUAUGGAUACCCGUUUGCAUGUACUUUAUGAAUAAGGAUCGGCUAACUCCGUGCCAGCAGCCGCGGUAAUACGGAGGAUCCGAGCGUUAUCCGGAUUUAUUGGGUUUAAAGGGAGCGUAGAUGGAUGUUUAAGUCAGUUGUGAAAGUUUGCGGCUCAACCGUAAAAUUGCAGUUGAUACUGGAUAUCUUGAGUGCAGUUGAGGCAGGCGGAAUUCGUGGUGUAGCGGUGAAAUGCUUAGAUAUCACGAAGAACUCCGAUUGCGAAGGCAGCCUGCUAAGCUGCAACUGACAUUGAGGCUCGAAAGUGUGGGUAUCAAACAGG